Molecule: ribosomal RNA, 423 nt
Filed under: uncultured bacterium
Lineage: Bacteria
Description: bacterial SSU rRNA
Rfam family: Bacterial small subunit ribosomal RNA
Source: RNAcentral
AUCUUCGGCAAUGGGCGCAAGCCUGACCGAGCAACGCCGCGUGAGUGAGGAAGGCUUUCGGGUCGUAAAGCUCUGUUGCCAGGGAAGAGAAGCAAGGAGAGGCAAUGCUCCUUGCGAGACGGUACCUGAGAAGAAAGCCCCGGCUAACUACGUGCCAGCAGCCGCGGUAAUACGUAGGGGGCAAGCGUUGUCCGGAAUUAUUGGGCGUAAAGCGCGCGCAGGCGGUUCUUUAAGUCUGGUGUAUAAGUGCGGGGCUCAACCCCGUGACCUACUAGAAACUGAGGGACUUGGAGUGCAGAAGAGGAGAGCGGAAUUCCACGUGUAGCGGUGAAAUGCGUAGAGAUGUGGAGGAACACCAGUGGCGAAGGCGGCUCUCUGGACUGUAACUGACGCUGAGGCGCGAAAGCGUGGGGAGCAAACAGG